ACAAAUUUUUAUCGGCCUCUCUGGCUUCUAUCAAGUGUUUUGAACUCUUUGUACUCGUUUUAUUGGGAUGUGACUCGGGAUUGGGACUUGAGGUAUGUUGUUGCUUUCGUACUGUUUCACAUUUAUAGUGUGACAAUUGUCACUUAGUUACUCCCCUUCAUCUCUGAACCAGAGAAGGGCCAUUGCCUUGUUUGGUUCCACUGAAGCAUUAAGCAAGCUGCUAAUCACGUCAAUGUUGACACUCUUGAACUGAAUCCUAUAGGCUCUGAACACUUACAUCUUCAACAACAUUUAUUAAUUAAUCUCUUUUUCUUUUGCC
RNAcentral lists this unclassified non-coding RNA (319 nucleotides) under Hevea brasiliensis (rubber tree). Lineage: Eukaryota; Viridiplantae; Streptophyta; Magnoliopsida; Malpighiales; Euphorbiaceae. The record is from RNAcentral.